AGAAUCAACGCUGGCGGCGUGCCUAACACAUGCAAGUCGAACGAGAAAGUGGAGCAAUCUACAAGUACAGUGGCGUACGGGUGAGUAACACGUGACUAACCUACCCUCGAGUGGGGAAUAACCUCGGGAAACCGGGGCUAAUACCGCAUAACAUCUACGGAUCAAAUGCGCAAGCAGCUUGAGGAGGGGGUCGCGGCUGAUUAGCUAGUUGGCGGGGUAAUGGCCCACCAAGGCAAUGAUCAGUAGCCGGCCUGAGAGGGCGCACGGCCACACUGGAACUGAAACACGGUCCAGACUCCUACGGGAGGCAGCAGUGGGGAAUUUUGCGCAAUGGGGGAAACCCUGACGCAGCAACGCCGCGUGGAGGAUGAAGCCCCUUGGGGUGUAAACUCCUUUCGAUCGGGACGAUUAUGACGGUACCGGAUGAAGAAGCACCGGCUAACUCUGUGCCAGCAGCCGCGGUAAUACAGAGGGUGCAAGCGUUGUUCGGAAUUAUUGGGCGUAAAGGGUGCGUAGGCGGUGCGGUAAGUCUUCUGUGAAAUCUCCGGGCUCAACCCGGAGCCUGCAGAGGAAACUGCCGUGCUGGAGUAUGGGAGAGGUGAGUGGGAAUUCCCGGGUGUAGCGGUGAAAUGCGUAGAUAUCGGGAGGAACACCUGUGGCGAAAGCGGCUCGCUGGAUCACAACUGACGCUGAGGGACGAAAGCUAGGGGAGCAAACAGGAUUAGAUACCCUGGUAGUCCUAGCCCUAAACCAUCAGACUUGGGUUUGCCCUGUACGGGGCAAGUCCCGUAGCUAACGCGUUAAGUCCUGCGCCUGGGGAGUACGGUCGCAAGGCUGA
This 838-nucleotide ribosomal RNA is filed under the name uncultured bacterium. RNAcentral's name for it is "bacterial SSU rRNA". It matches the Rfam family "Bacterial small subunit ribosomal RNA", at positions 26 to 897 of the family's 1533-position model. The record is from RNAcentral.